This 442-nucleotide ribosomal RNA is filed under the name uncultured bacterium. RNAcentral describes it as "partial 16S ribosomal RNA". It matches the Rfam family "Bacterial small subunit ribosomal RNA", at positions 338 to 795 of the family's 1533-position model. The record is from RNAcentral.
CCUACGGGUGGCAGCAGUGGGGAAUAUUGGGCAAUGGGCGCAAGCCUGACCCAGCAAUGCCGCGUGAAGGAAGAAGGCUUUCGGGUUGUAAACUUCUUUGACAGGGGAAGAGAAGAAGACGGUACCCUGAAAACAAGCCACGGCUAACUACGUUCCAGCAGCCGCGGUAAUACGUAGGUGGCAAGCGUAGACCGGGUUUACUGGGUGUAAAGGGAGGGUAGCCGGGCAGGCAAGUCAGAUGUGAAAUCUGGAGGCUCAACCUCCAAAUUGAAUUUGAAACUGUUUUUCUUGAGUACUGGGGAGGCAGACGGAAUUCCUUGUGUAGCGGUGAAAUGCGUAGAUAUAAGGAGGAACACCAGUGGCGAAGGCGGUCUGCUGGACAGCAACUGACGGUGAGGCGCGAAAGCGUGGGGAGCAAACAGGAUUAGAUACCCUUGUAGUC